GUGAGGAAUAUUGCGCAAUGGAGGCAACUCUGACGCAGCCAUGCCGAGUGCAGGAAGAAGGCGCUACGCGUUGUAAACUGCUUUUAACCGGGAAGAAACCCCAGGACGUGUCCUGGGUUGACGGUACCGGAGGAAUAAGCACCGGCUAACUUCGUGCCAGCAGCCGCGGUAAUACGAAGGGUGCAAGCGUUAUCCGGAUUCAUUGGGUUUAAAGGGUGCGUAGGCGGAGCGUUAAGUCAGUGGUGAAAUCCUGCAGCUUAACUGUAGACUUGCCAUUGAUACUGGCGCUCUUGAGUGCGCUUGAAGUGGGCGGAAUGUGCCGUGUAGCGGUGAAAUGCUUAGAUAUGGCACAGAACACCAAUUGCGAAGGCAGCUCACUAAGGCGAUACUGACGCUGAGGCACGAAAGCGUGGGGAUCGAACAGGAUUAGAUACCCUAGUAGUCC
RNAcentral lists this ribosomal RNA (445 nucleotides) under uncultured bacterium. RNAcentral describes it as "partial 16S ribosomal RNA". It matches the Rfam family "Bacterial small subunit ribosomal RNA", at positions 354 to 796 of the family's 1533-position model. The record is from RNAcentral.